GUAUUUAAAACGCUAUGUGAAUAAAAUGGACAGAAACAGUCAAGUGAAAUUAAAUAGAUCCUUAAGGACUAAUGAAGCUUUUUGUUCUUUGUGGUCUAUCAGAUGGAAGAGGCACUUCCAGGUCCCUAUGAUUUACUUGGAAAAGUCCUCAUGCUUAUUGUGAAGAAGGCUCCAAAAGGUAAACUAUUUCUAAUAUCUGAAGUCAAAACCUAUAAGGAAUAGAUGGAACCAAGGUUGCUCAUAGAUGGUGUGGAAAUUCAACAUCUUUUUAUGAUAGAAAGCUCCCAAAAAUUGGGUAUAGAUGGAAUGUACCUCAAUAUAAUAAAUGCCAAAUAAGACAAAUUCACAG
Molecule: long non-coding RNA, 349 nt
Filed under: Equus caballus (horse)
Lineage: Eukaryota; Metazoa; Chordata; Mammalia; Perissodactyla; Equidae
Description: lncRNA (ENSECAG00000052227.1)
Source: RNAcentral